This 97-nucleotide ribosomal RNA is filed under the name uncultured eukaryote. Its description in RNAcentral is "partial small subunit ribosomal RNA". The record is from RNAcentral.
UCGCUCCUACCGAUUUCGAGUGAUCCGGUGAACCUUUUGGACUGCUUCGGCUUCCGGAGCGGGAAAUCAAGUAAACCUUAUCACUUAGAGGAAGGAG